Phrynosoma platyrhinos (Desert horned lizard) is the source of this 74-nucleotide non-coding RNA. Lineage: Eukaryota; Metazoa; Chordata; Lepidosauria; Squamata; Phrynosomatidae. The record is from the annotation of a GenBank genome assembly.
GCGUGAGCAUAGUGUAGUGGUUUGAACGUUGGACUACAACUCUGGAGACCAGGGUUCAAAUCCUUGCUCAGCCA